This 89-nucleotide non-coding RNA is filed under the name bovine gut metagenome. Its description in RNAcentral is "THF riboswitch". It matches the Rfam family "THF (Tetrahydrofolate) riboswitch aptamer". From Rfam's summary of the family: THF riboswitch presents a pseudoknot that joins P1-P2 and the loop of P3 and two THF binding. The record is from RNAcentral.
CGAAGUAGGACGUAGCGCGUCAAGUGCCGCAGGAUGGGAAGUUGUCUGCGGACGAAGAGCAUAGCUCGCGGUGCUGCAUCCGCAUCCGU